This 1002-nucleotide ribosomal RNA is filed under the name Polycephalomyces albiramus. RNAcentral describes it as "SSU rRNA". It matches the Rfam family "Eukaryotic small subunit ribosomal RNA", at positions 401 to 1104 of the family's 1831-position model. Lineage: Eukaryota; Fungi; Ascomycota; Sordariomycetes; Hypocreales; Polycephalomycetaceae. The record is from RNAcentral.
GAACGGCUUUUACAUCCAAGGAAGGCAGCAGGCGCGCAAAUUACCCAAUCCCGACACGGGGAGGUAGUGCCAAUAAAUACUGAUCCAGGGCUCUUUUGGGUCUUGUAAUUGGAAUGAGUACAAUUUAAAUCCCUUAACGAGGAACAAUUGGAGGGCAAGUCUGGUGAGCAUUGCUGGCGCCAGAAAUAGCCGCCCCCUCCCUAAACAAAGCGGCUAGUCGAGCGCUCGACGAGUGACGGGUGAGCGCCGGCGAGACAACCUGGAUCGGGGAAGGCUAAGGGCCGUCGUGCCUAUGCCGAUCCCGAGCAGAGCCAGUUCGCUGGCCUGUGUAGAGCGCGCCAAGGUGUCGGUCCCGAGGUCUCCUCGGGGCUUAAGGUACGUGCCAAUCCCCCGCGAAAGCGGGGCCCUGCGAAGUAGCACCCGUCGUGCGAAGUCCCAGGGAGCCCUCCCCCCCGGAGGGCGUCGACAUGGCCAGCAGCCGCGGUAAUUCCAGCUCCAAUAGCGUAUAUUAAAGUUGUUGUGGUUAAAAAGCUCGUAGUUGAACCUUGGGCCUGGCUGGCCGGUCCGCCUCACCGCGUGUACUGGUCCGGCCGGGCCUUUCCCUCUGUGGAACCCCAUGCCCUUCACUGGGUGUGGCGGGGAAACAGGACUUUUACUUUGAAAAAAUUAGAGUGCUCCAGGCAGGCCUAUGCUCGAAUACAUUAGCAUGGAAUAAUGAAAUAGGACGCGCGGUUCUAUUUUGUUGGUUUCUAGGACCGCCGUAAUGAUUAAUAGGGACAGUCGGGGGCAUCAGUAUUCAAUUGUCAGAGGUGAAAUUCUUGGAUUUAUUGAAGACUAACUACUGCGAAAGCAUUUGCCAAGGAUGUUUUCAUUAAUCAGGAACGAAAGUUAGGGGAUCGAAGACGAUCAGAUACCGUCGUAGUCUUAACCAUAAACUAUGCCGACUAGGGAUCGGACGAUGUUAUUUUUUGACUCGUUCGGCACCUUACGAGAAAUCAAAGU